CUGCUCGCCGCUUCGUCGGCCGCGUAAUCCGAGGCGUCCCGGGAGCUGAAGUGGCUGUUGUAACAAGACAGCUGUUGCACAAUCGCCUGCUGGAGUAAAAGACGGGUUUUCCACCGAAACGCGGGGGCGCCGGGGUAUGCCUGAUCCAGGAAGUAAGAAAACAUAAUUCUGUAUCUCACAACUUAAGGUUUUGGUCACCAUAAUACAAAAAAGAUGCUGUGGCCCUAGGAAGUGUGCAGAGAAGAGCAACAAAGAUGAAAAGGGGUCUGGAGGUUACAUCAUACAAUUAAGGGUUAGGGGAACUAAGUAUGUUUAGCCUAACAAAAAGGAGGCUUAGAGAGACAUGAUAGCAGUCUUAAAUACUUGAAGGGUUGAGAGGAAGAGGGUGUCAAUUUAUUUUCCAUAGCAACUGAGGGCAGGACAAAAACAAUGGGUGGAACCUCAUCAGAGGGAGAUCCAACAUGGAAAUAGGAGGAAAUUCCUGGCAGUGAGAACAGUUAAUGGAACAGUUUGCCUCCAUGAAGUGUGGGUGCUCCAUCACUGGAGGUUUUCAAAGAAAAAUUGGACAACUAUUUGUUCAGGAUUGUAGAAGGAUUCUUGCCCUGGGCAGAGGGGCUGGAGUAGAAGACCUCCAAAGUCCCUUCCAU
Long non-coding RNA from Ahaetulla prasina, 647 nucleotides. RefSeq lists it as uncharacterized. NCBI's taxonomy places the organism in Eukaryota, Metazoa, Chordata, Lepidosauria, Squamata, Colubridae. The record is from RefSeq and is a predicted model, not a curated record. The transcript has 3 exons.